RNAcentral lists this ribosomal RNA (1551 nucleotides) under Neisseria gonorrhoeae. Its description in RNAcentral is "bacterial SSU rRNA". It matches the Rfam family "Bacterial small subunit ribosomal RNA". RNAcentral also lists the same sequence under 1 other name. Lineage: Bacteria; Pseudomonadati; Pseudomonadota; Betaproteobacteria; Neisseriales; Neisseriaceae. The record is from RNAcentral.
AGAGAUUGAACAUAAGAGUUUGAUCCUGGCUCAGAUUGAACGCUGGCGGCAUGCUUUACACAUGCAAGUCGGACGGCAGCACAGGGAAGCUUGCUUCUCGGGUGGCGAGUGGCGAACGGGUGAGUAACAUAUCGGAACGUACCGGGUAGCGGGGGAUAACUGAUCGAAAGAUCAGCUAAUACCGCAUACGUCUUGAGAGGGAAAGCAGGGGACCUUCGGGCCUUGCGCUAUCCGAGCGGCCGAUAUCUGAUUAGCUGGUUGGCGGGGUAAAGGCCCACCAAGGCGACGAUCAGUAGCGGGUCUGAGAGGAUGAUCCGCCACACUGGGACUGAGACACGGCCCAGACUCCUACGGGAGGCAGCAGUGGGGAAUUUUGGACAAUGGGCGCAAGCCUGAUCCAGCCAUGCCGCGUGUCUGAAGAAGGCCUUCGGGUUGUAAAGGACUUUUGUCAGGGAAGAAAAGGCCGUUGCCAAUAUCGGCGGCCGAUGACGGUACCUGAAGAAUAAGCACCGGCUAACUACGUGCCAGCAGCCGCGGUAAUACGUAGGGUGCGAGCGUUAAUCGGAAUUACUGGGCGUAAAGCGGGCGCAGACGGUUACUUAAGCAGGAUGUGAAAUCCCCGGGCUCAACCCGGGAACUGCGUUCUGAACUGGGUGACUCGAGUGUGUCAGAGGGAGGUGGAAUUCCACGUGUAGCAGUGAAAUGCGUAGAGAUGUGGAGGAAUACCGAUGGCGAAGGCAGCCUCCUGGGAUAACACUGACGUUCAUGUCCGAAAGCGUGGGUAGCAAACAGGAUUAGAUACCCUGGUAGUCCACGCCCUAAACGAUGUCAAUUAGCUGUUGGGCAACUUGAUUGCUUGGUAGCGUAGCUAACGCGUGAAAUUGACCGCCUGGGGAGUACGGUCGCAAGAUUAAAACUCAAAGGAAUUGACGGGGACCCGCACAAGCGGUGGAUGAUGUGGAUUAAUUCGAUGCAACGCGAAGAACCUUACCUGGUUUUGACAUGUGCGGAAUCCUCCGGAGACGGAGGAGUGCCUUCGGGAGCCGUAACACAGGUGCUGCAUGGCUGUCGUCAGCUCGUGUCGUGAGAUGUUGGGUUAAGUCCCGCAACGAGCGCAACCCUUGUCAUUAGUUGCCAUCAUUCGGUUGGGCACUCUAAUGAGACUGCCGGUGACAAGCCGGAGGAAGGUGGGGAUGACGUCAAGUCCUCAUGGCCCUUAUGACCAGGGCUUCACACGUCAUACAAUGGUCGGUACAGAGGGUAGCCAAGCCGCGAGGCGGAGCCAAUCUCACAAAACCGAUCGUAGUCCGGAUUGCACUCUGCAACUCGAGUGCAUGAAGUCGGAAUCGCUAGUAAUCGCAGGUCAGCAUACUGCGGUGAAUACGUUCCCGGGUCUUGUACACACCGCCCGUCACACCAUGGGAGUGGGGGAUACCAGAAGUAGGUAGGGUAACCGCAAGGAGUCCGCUUACCACGGUAUGCUUCAUGACUGGGGUGAAGUCGUAACAAGGUAGCCGUAGGGGAACCUGCGGCUGGAUCACCUCCUUUCUA